AAAAUGAGAAGACACAGGGAUUGCCCUAGUACGGCGAGUGAAGCGGCAACAGCUCAAAUUUGAAAUCUGGCUCUCGGGCCCGAGUUGUAAUUUGUAGAGGAUGCUUUUGAUGCGGUGCCUUCCGAGUUCCCUGGAACGGGACGCCAUAGAGGGUGAGAGCCCCGUCUGGUUGGAUGCCAAAUCUCUGUAAAGCUCCUUCGACGAGUCGAGUAGUUUGGGAAUGCUGCUCUAAAUGGGAGGUAUAUGUCUUCUAAAGCUAAAUACCGGCCAGAGACCGAUAGCGCACAAGUAGAGUGAUCGAAAGAUGAAAAGCACUUUGAAAAGAGAGUUAAAAAGUACGUGAAAUUGUUGAAAGGGAAGCGUUUAUGACCAGACUUGGGCUUGGUUAAUCAUCUGGGGUUCUCCCCAGUGCACUUUUCCAGUCCAGGCCAGCAUCAGUUUUCGCCGGGGGAUAAAGGCUUCGGGAAUGUGGCUCUCUCCGGGGAGUGUUAUAGCCCGUUGCGUAAUACCCUGGCGGGGACUGAGGUUCGCGCAUCUGCAAGGAUGCUGGCGUAAUGGUCAUCAACGACCCGUCUUGAAACACGGACCAAGGAGUCGUCUUCGUAUGCGAGUGUUCGGGUGUCAAACCCCUACGCGUAAUGAAAGUGAACGCAGGUGAGAGCUUCGGCGCAUCAUCGACCGAUCCUGAUGUUCUCGGAUGGAUUUGAGUAAGAGCAUACGGGGCCGGACCCGAAAGAAGGUGAACUAUGCCUGUGUAGGGUGAAGCCAGAGGAAACUCUGGUGGAGGCUCGCAGCGGUUCUGACGUGCNAAUCGAUCGUCAAACAUGGGCAUGGGGGCGAAAGACUAAU
This 849-nucleotide ribosomal RNA is filed under the name Persiciospora sp. BR439. RNAcentral describes it as "LSU rRNA". It matches the Rfam family "Eukaryotic large subunit ribosomal RNA", at positions 51 to 935 of the family's 3401-position model. The record is from RNAcentral. Lineage: Eukaryota; Fungi; Ascomycota; Sordariomycetes; Hypocreales; Nectriaceae.